Molecule: transfer RNA, 84 nt
Filed under: Gemmatimonadota bacterium
Lineage: Bacteria; Pseudomonadati; Gemmatimonadota
Also listed under: 1 other name
Description: Gemmatimonadetes bacterium tRNA-Ile
Rfam family: tRNA
About the family: Transfer RNA (tRNA) molecules are approximately 80 nucleotides in length. Their secondary structure includes four short double-helical elements and three loops (D, anti-codon, and T loops). Further hydrogen bonds mediate the characteristic L-shaped molecular structure. tRNAs have two regions of fundamental functional importance: the anti-codon, which is responsible for specific mRNA codon recognition, and the 3' end, to which the tRNAs corresponding amino acid is attached (by aminoacyl-tRNA synthetases). tRNAs cope with the degeneracy of the genetic code in two manners: having more than one tRNA (with a specific anti-codon) for a particular amino acid; and 'wobble' base-pairing, i.e. permitting non-standard base-pairing at the 3rd anti-codon position.
Source: RNAcentral
GCCGGCGUGGCGAAACGGGUAAACGCAGAGAUCCGAUACAUCUCCGGGCGAAAGCCCUUGUGGGUUCGAGUCCCACCGCCGGCA